CAAUAGCGUAUAUUUAAGUUGUUGCAGUUCAAAAGCUCGUAGUUGGAUUUCGGGUGGGACGCAGCGGUCUCGCAUUGCGUUUGUACUGCUGCAGCCCUCCUUCUUGCCGGGGGCGGCCUCUCGGACUUCACUGUCUGGGGGUCAGAAUCGGCGAUGUUACUUUGAGUAAAUUAGAGUGUUCAAAGCAAGCUUACGCUCUGAAUAUAAUAGCAUGGGAUAACACGACAGGACUCUGGCCUAUCGUGUUGGUCUAUAGGACCAGAGUAAUGAUUAAGAGGGACAGUCGGGGGCAUUCGUAUUCCGUUGUCAGAGGUGAAAUUCUUGGAUUUACGGAAGACGAACAUCUGCGAAAGCAUUUGCCAAGGAUGUUUUCAUUGA
Molecule: ribosomal RNA, 378 nt
Filed under: uncultured eukaryote
Lineage: Eukaryota
Description: partial 18S ribosomal RNA
Rfam family: Eukaryotic small subunit ribosomal RNA
Source: RNAcentral